AUACGGAGGAUGCAAGCGUUAUCCGGAUUUAUUGGGUUUAAAGGGUGCGUAGGCGGAUGAUUAAGCGUGAGGUGAAAUGCCACUGCUCAACAGUGGAACUGCCUCGCGAACUGGUUGUCUUGAAUGCUCCUGCCGUGGGAGGAAUGUGUGGUGUAGCGGUGAAAUGCAUAGAGAUCACACAGAACACCGAUUGCGAAGGCAUCUCACGAAGGGGUGAUUGACGCUGAGGCACGAAAGCGUGGGGAUCAAACAGGAUUAGAUACCCUGGUAGGCCACGCAGUAAACGAUGAUAACUAACCGCUGGGUCGUAGUGAUUCAGUGGCCAAGCGAAAGCGAUAAGUUAUCCACCUGGGGAGUACGACCGCAAGGUUGAAACUCAAAGGAAUUGACGGGG
RNAcentral lists this ribosomal RNA (394 nucleotides) under uncultured bacterium. Its description in RNAcentral is "partial 16S ribosomal RNA". It matches the Rfam family "Bacterial small subunit ribosomal RNA", at positions 523 to 918 of the family's 1533-position model. The record is from RNAcentral.